CAGCGCUCCGCCGAGGAAGAACUCGGCGCGGUGCUGCCCGGGGGCCCGCCCGGCGCCCAGCAGCCCCAGGCCGGGCGGGAGCGGGGGCUGCUGCGGGCGGGGCGGCCCGCGGGGCUCGGCGCGGUGCCGGCUGCGCAGCACCUGGAUGCUCUCGCGGAGCAGCGCCUGCUUGGCCUUCAGGCGCGAGUUGUGGACGGCGCGCGGGUCGCGGAAGAGCUGCACCACGCGCAGGUUGAGGCCGGGCUCCCGCAGCAGCGGCAGCAGCGCGCCCAGCUCCAGCAGCCGCACGUCCUUGAUGACCACCACCGGGAAACCUGUUUUCCACCCCUACGUGAUCCAAAUAAGAACUCCCUGCGACCUGAGUGCCAACCUUGCAUUUUCCAGGACUGAGUCUUUCUGCCUUGACCACAAUUCUUUCUGCUCCGUGAUGUGCUAAAGCACAAAGCAUGUAACAUCUUUCCUGAUCUAAUUAGUGAUGCCUCCAUCUGUCUCGUGGUGAAAGUAACUGGCAUCAACACCAAGCUACAUGGCUUUGUUGUCUCUCUGUCCUUCAGCCUUUCUGUACUCGUGUAACAUGUCACCUGCUGAGAGAAAUGUGGAUUAUUACGUAUUUCUGAUGUAGAACACUGCGUGGAGAGGCAUACAAUAAAAUACAAUAAAAUUAAAUCAUGAAAAGAUGUCAUCAAAGCACCGCUACAUCAUAUCAUUAAAGCUAAGUUGCAAUAAAAACAAUUCAAAUUCAAAUGAAAUUGAAGUCAGGUCUUAUGUUGUCUCUUUUAUUAUUUUUAUACUAUCCCCAGCACAGUAAAUUCAACGUAACAACCAGUCAG
RNAcentral lists this long non-coding RNA (830 nucleotides) under Gallus gallus (chicken). Lineage: Eukaryota; Metazoa; Chordata; Aves; Galliformes; Phasianidae. The record is from RNAcentral.